Xenia sp. Carnegie-2017 is the source of this 365-nucleotide long non-coding RNA. RefSeq lists it as uncharacterized. The transcript is spliced from 2 exons. The record is from RefSeq and is a predicted model, not a curated record. Lineage: Eukaryota; Metazoa; Cnidaria; Anthozoa; Malacalcyonacea; Xeniidae.
ACAUUUUUGGCGAGAUUUUCACUAGUUUCUAGACAGUGCCUUCGAGAAACAGACGUUGAUGGUCAACAGUAAUAUACAAGAACUUGAGGAUAAAAAUCACGAGGAAUGCGAUUUGUUUCAAAAGUACAUCAGCAACGAUGAUAUUUUGGAUGGCAUCGUAAGAAGAUGGUGGAUGAGCUUACAGGAAUAAUUUACCAUCAAGGUAUAUUUACGACCAGACUUAUGGCGCGUGCAAAUAUUUAUUGUACAAAUAGGAUAUUGUGUCCCCAAUGAUCCGUUUGUAAACUUUACGCGGAAUUUGUAGCGUUGUUGGUGUAAAUCAUUCGUAACUUGAGUUGAAUAACAAAACAUAUUCGUUCAUUUAA